AAGAGAGCUUGAUUGCAAGACAUACAGGUCGAGCAAGGAUGAAAAUCGGACUUAGUGAUCCGGUGGUUCUGCGUGGAAGGGCCAUCGCUCAACGGAUAAAAGCUACCCUGGGGAUAACAGGCUUAUCUCCCCCAAGAGUCAACAUCGACGGGGAGGUUUGGCACCUCGAUGUCGGCUCAUCACAUCCUGGGGCUGUAGUAGGUCCCAAGGGUUGGGCUGUUCGCCCAUUAAAGUGGUACGCGAGCUGGGUUCAGAACGUCGUG
RNAcentral lists this ribosomal RNA (263 nucleotides) under Clostridioides difficile. RNAcentral describes it as "partial 23S ribosomal RNA". It matches the Rfam family "Bacterial large subunit ribosomal RNA", at positions 2361 to 2623 of the family's 2925-position model. The record is from RNAcentral. Lineage: Bacteria; Bacillati; Bacillota; Clostridia; Peptostreptococcales; Peptostreptococcaceae.